GCAAGUCGAGUGGGUUUAGGCCCACGGCAAACGGGUUAGUAAUACAUAGGAACGUACCCUCUAGUCGUGAAUAAUUUACCGAAAGGUAAGCUAAUACACGAUAUGCUCUACGGAGUAAAGAUUUAUCGCUAGAGGAGCGGCCUGUGUCCUAUCAGCUAGUUGGUGGGGUAAUGGCCUACCAAGGCGGGGACGGGUAGCUGGUCUGAGAGGACGACCAGCCACACGGGAACUUAUACACGGUCCCGAGUCAUACGGGAGGCAGCAUUCGGAUCUUGCAGGAAACUCGAGCCAU
RNAcentral lists this unclassified non-coding RNA (292 nucleotides) under uncultured bacterium. Its description in RNAcentral is "partial contains 16S ribosomal RNA and 16S-23S ribosomal RNA intergenic spacer region". It matches the Rfam family "Bacterial small subunit ribosomal RNA", at positions 57 to 358 of the family's 1533-position model. The record is from RNAcentral.